This 264-nucleotide non-coding RNA is filed under the name Clostridium sp. W14A. RNAcentral describes it as "partial 23S ribosomal RNA". It matches the Rfam family "Bacterial large subunit ribosomal RNA", at positions 1082 to 1352 of the family's 2925-position model. Lineage: Bacteria; Bacillati; Bacillota; Clostridia; Eubacteriales; Clostridiaceae. The record is from RNAcentral.
UGCUUAGACAACCAGGAUGUUGGCUCAGAAGCAGCCAUUCAUUAAAAGAGUGCGUAAUAGCUCACUGGUCGAGUGACCCUGCGCCGAAAAUUCAACGGGGCUAAAAUCGUGUACCGAAGCUUGGGAUUCCGAAAGGAAUGGUAGGAGAGCGUUGAAUGAGAGUUGAAGUCGGAGCGGAAGCGCCGGUGGAUUUCAUUCAAGUGAGAAUGCCGGAAUGAGUAGCGAGAAAUAUGUGAGAAUCAUAUUGGCCGAAAGUCUAAGGUU